GGAGACAUCAACUUCAACAGAAGGCUCUGUAAAUGGGAAAUAAGAGGGACGCAAGCGAAUCUUGCGGUCUUCACCA
This 76-nucleotide transfer RNA is filed under the name Streptococcus ratti. Its description in RNAcentral is "tRNA-Xxx". The record is from RNAcentral. Lineage: Bacteria; Bacillati; Bacillota; Bacilli; Lactobacillales; Streptococcaceae.